CAAGUUUGAUUCUAUGGUUGAGAUCUGUCUGAUUGGUCAACGGGCUAUCAUAGGUGAUAUCGAAGCUGUAUGCGGCCUGUGUAAACACACCCAUACUAUCACGUGUAUUGAACCUGUACACGCAUAUGAAAUGGAAAUGCGCAGUUUUCACAAGCUCGUCAUGCGCAGACACCCCCAAACUGUAAAGAUGAUCAGAGCAAUGGUGGCUUUCAAGAUACAAAAUAGAUGGGAACGCAUUAGAAAUGAAAAGGUACCUAUCUAUCGGACAAUACUUGAGAAGUUACUGCUCAACGAUCUUCAGCAAAAUGACGUCAAGGUCACUCCUGGAAGUAGAGCGCCACUUUCGGUAGCACAAAAAAGACUAGCGAUCAACUCACAAGGACCCGGUUCUCUUUACCGUAAACUCAAAGAAAAACGAGAAAGACAUCUUGUUCUGUCGCGUCGGCAUUCACAGCUGCAACUUCCCGGGCUUGGGGAUGCGCAUAGAAGUGGAGCAGUCAUGUCAUCGAGAUCCUCGACACGCAGGGGUGAUCGGGGCCAUUCCGCUAAA
Lytechinus pictus (painted urchin) is the source of this 550-nucleotide long non-coding RNA. RefSeq lists it as uncharacterized. NCBI's taxonomy places the organism in Eukaryota, Metazoa, Echinodermata, Echinoidea, Temnopleuroida, Toxopneustidae. The transcript is spliced from 3 exons. The record is from RefSeq and is a predicted model, not a curated record.